GAGUACUAUGAAUAUUGUAAUUUAAAACUCAAAGAACUUGGCGGUGUUUUAGACCAUUUAGGGGAACCUGUCUCGUAAUCGACAGUCCACGAUAUACCUGACCUUUUUUUGUUUUUCAGUUUGUAUACCGUUGUCGUCAGGUAACUUUUUAGAAAAUAGAAGUUGGCUUGAAAAAUAAGAUAAUUUAAUACGUCAAAUCAAGGUGCAGCUAAUAAAAAGGGGAGGAUGGGUUACAAUUAUGAAUUUAUAAUUACGAAUAAUCAUAUGUAAAUGUGAUUUGUGAAGGAGGACUUAAAAGUAAAUUAAAUUAUAAAAAUAAUUUGAAUGAGGCUCUGAAACGUGU
This 343-nucleotide ribosomal RNA is filed under the name Terebra argus. Its description in RNAcentral is "partial 12S ribosomal RNA". Lineage: Eukaryota; Metazoa; Mollusca; Gastropoda; Neogastropoda; Terebridae. The record is from RNAcentral.